This 369-nucleotide ribosomal RNA is filed under the name uncultured bacterium. RNAcentral describes it as "bacterial SSU rRNA". It matches the Rfam family "Bacterial small subunit ribosomal RNA", at positions 525 to 896 of the family's 1533-position model. The record is from RNAcentral.
ACGAAGGAUGCAAGCGUUAUCCGGAUUCAUUGGGUUUAAAGGGAGCGUAGGUGGACUGAUAAGUCAGUGGUGAAAUCUUCGAGCUUAACUCGGAAAUUGCCAUUGAUACUGUUGGUCUUGAGUACAGUUGCUGUGGGCGGAAUAUGACAUGUAGUGGUGAAAUACAUAGAGAUGUCAUAGAACACCGAUUGCGAAGGCAGCUCACAAAGCUGUAACUGACACUGAGGCUCGAAAGUGCGGGGAUCAAACAGGAUUAGAUACCCUGGUAGUCCGCACCGUAAACGAUGAUUACUCGCUGCUAGAGGGCAACCUUUAGUGGCUUAGCGAAAGCGAUAAGUAAUCCACCUGGGGAGUACGCCGGCAACGGUG